Molecule: long non-coding RNA, 713 nt
Organism: Symphalangus syndactylus (siamang)
Lineage: Eukaryota; Metazoa; Chordata; Mammalia; Primates; Hylobatidae
Source: RefSeq, a predicted model, not a curated record
UCUGGCCUGGAUACAAUGUCCUUUUCCAGGUGUAUAACAAACUACGUAUUAUUUUCAUUUCAAAGGUUUUAAAUACUUGCAUGCAGCCAUCUCUAGAAUGUCAUAUGGUCUCUCUUCAACUGGAAUGACAAGAGCUGAAAGAAAUGUGCAACCAUGAGGACACCGUAACCUAUGAAUGAUGUGCUGAGAUGGGAAACCCAAAAUGAUGAGACCAUCAAACUUAUAAUCGUUCAACAAAGGUUCCAGCCAGUUCCAGGUGAAGACACCACCACUGGCCAUCAGGAAGCUACCCUGCCUCCACUAGUGGGAGCAGGGCGAGAGUUCUAUGAACCCCAAUAGGUAGGGACUACACUUGGAGCCAUCAUGAAGGAGUUACAGAAAAAAGACCAUUGGUCCUUCUGCCUCCCAUAAAGAUUUAUGGGGAUCACAUCUCUCAGUGGGGAGAUGAGGCAGUAAAAUAGGGUGUGGAGGCAGGGAACAUAAGGCUGAUUCAUCCUUCAGCUACGACAGGAAAUAUCCUCUCCAUAGAGCAUACACCGAGUAAAUGACUUUGUAACUUUACUUCACCCUCUUCACUUACAUAGGGUGUACUCCAAGUAGAGGGUAUUUAAACUCACAAAAACUCUGUAACAGGGCCUUCGAGCCCCUAUGCUUUGGCCGGCUCCCACAUUGUGGAGUGUACUUUCAUUUUCAAUAAAUCCCUUUGUCCCUUC